Long non-coding RNA from Vespula pensylvanica (western yellowjacket), 301 nucleotides. RefSeq lists it as uncharacterized. The transcript is spliced from 2 exons. The record is from RefSeq and is a predicted model, not a curated record. NCBI's taxonomy places the organism in Eukaryota, Metazoa, Arthropoda, Insecta, Hymenoptera, Vespidae.
UAUGCGCAGUAAAACGAGUUUCUUUGUACACAUUAUGAAUAGUGCAUUCGACGUUAUUUUGAACGGUAUAUCGAGCAUUGUAUCGAAUUCGCAUAUACUACAUGGCGUAACACGUGUAAACACCGUGUGUACUCCCAAGUACAACCAUCGAAGCCACGAUUAAUGGAUCGAAGAAUCAAUCGAGGUAAUAUACGUGAAAAUAAUUUAGCAACUUCGCUUAUAGUCUCUUCCAUUGAAUUUUCACCAUCCCGUUUGUAUGCACGAGACGUAAUAAGAAGUAAAAAGUCAGUGUCAUCUGUUA